This 260-nucleotide long non-coding RNA is filed under the name Carica papaya (papaya). RNAcentral describes it as "long non-coding RNA (CPAP_LNC006522)". The record is from RNAcentral. Lineage: Eukaryota; Viridiplantae; Streptophyta; Magnoliopsida; Brassicales; Caricaceae.
CUGACUCGGUGCCAUGCGGGAGGCCACGCUGGCAAUUUGCGUGCCCGCGAUCGGACGACCCGGAUGCGUUCCCAUGCACGUGGACGGUCCAGAUCCGUUCCUUCCUUAAGUGUGAUCGGACGGUCGCGAUUAAAUGCGAUAAACGAUUCAGAUUUAUUUCUUCUUUAAAUGUGAUCGGACGCUUGAGAUAAAAUGCGAUGAACGAACCAGAUUUAAGAAAGAUGAGUAUAAAUAUCUCGCAUCACACCGAACCAAAGCAU